UACUUCGCAGGAGUCUCUCAGGUGACCGCUGCGUUCGUCCCAGAAGCUCCAUCGCUGCUUUGAGCUCCGACCUCCAGUUUACCACAACGGUGGACGACAACUCUCCCUCACCGUCAGACGAAGCUGAGAGCUCACCCACAUGAUUAUCUUUGCCUCUAAGAACCAUGUGUGUGCCGCAGUGUGUGAAUCCAAACACCGCCUCGGGGUCCCGAUAAGCCGAAGUAACGCGAUAAAGGGGCCACGUCAAAAAACAAUGCGUCGGUCAUAUCUGAAGAGCAGACGCUGGCAGGAGAGUCGCAGCGAAGGUCACCAGAUGUGAUGGUGUACGUACGGGCUUUGAGAAGUCUGUGUGAAGAUCACGGUUGGACAAUGAGGUCAGCAGAGGCAAGAAACCUGUUGCAUUGUAUACAAUAGUAUCUGAUUAGGGGGUAGGAAUUGAAAAGUUCUGCAUGGAUGCUUAUUGCAUGAUAGCCAGAGCAUUGCUUGAAUCCGAUAUAUAGUUUCUUUCUGCAGCUUGUUUUUUUUAAAUUUCUUUUGUAAAGAGAAACAAAGUCAGACGGUACCUGAAUCUGAGAAUAAUGCUCGGUCUUAAUGUGGCGUAAGUGAUUUAAAAGGGACUUCCAGCAAGAACACAUGUGUUCAUGGGAUGUAAAGGUGUCGUCUGACUGCCCCUACUAGCCUCCAAAAAAAACACAUAUACCAAAACCAUAAGUAUGCUGUCUUUCAACUUUGUGAUAUUAUUAUUUUGUAUUUCAUUCCAUGGAGAUGACAUUGUUGGCAGGGCCACACCGUUUAAUUUGUUGUCUUUCACCUUUUUUUUUGACAUUGUGUAUUCAAAUAAUGAUGUAUUUUUGUAUUGUUCUUUAUUGUAAGGAUGUUUUAAUCACUGGAUAUUGUGUGAAGAACAAUGCACUGAAUUACAACAGGUCAUUGUUGAUUUGUAGAGAUUAUUUUCUCAGGAUUGGAUAUUGCCUUUGGAUGCAUGUAUUUCUAUGGAACAUGACUGUGAACAUGUAGACAUGUUGUUUUCUUUAUAACAGUGUACUUCCUGGGAAUGUUUUGUUUAGCAAAUUCUUUUCAUAAAAAUUGCACUUUUUCUGUGUCCUACUCCUGUAGAUAGUGGUUUUACUUAUUGGAAAAUAUGUCAGUUGUCAUGAGUAAGUGAAUUCAUUUUUCAUAAGAAUGCACUGGAGGUGAUAUGUCUCGCGAGUUAUUUUAGUCAAAUCUACCUUUUGGUUUCUUUGCUGUCCUUUUCCAACCUAUUUUACCAAAAGCAGAAUAUUUGUAAUUUUCUGUAUUUCUGUCUCUCUUUUCUGACAUCGAGUCCAUUCGGAAGGUUUCACGACGGACUUGAUUUUAUUACUCUACCUUUAAAAGUGUUUGAGAAACAUGUCCGCCACUACAUCUGUUUCCUCCAAAGUCCCCCCAUGACCCUGAAGAUACCAGUGUGGCUGGCUUUCCCUCCGAUUUUAUUAUCAAGCGGUUAAUACUUCACAAUAUGUAAUCAGCAGUGGAAAGUUACUGUAUUUGUAUGUGCACCUUUGUACUAUAGAUAUACCUGAGGUUGAAGACAGUCAUUUCUGUAUCGAAUUGCAUUUGGUCUAUGCAGUUGUCAAAAUGAUUUUUUUAAAGUAAAAAAAAGGAAAAGUUUUUACAUGAUAAAGUACCUUUUCCUCUUGUGUGAUAAUAUUGGAGAAUGUUGAACUCUUACUGUAUUGUAUGAAACACAAUAGCCAGAUUUCUCUUCUAUUGCUAUGCACCCUAAUCAUUCUGUAGUGUAAAUGUUUCUAUACCCAGCACUCAUUCUAAUGUCUAAUUUAGGGAAACUGUUGAUUAAUGUCACUAAUAAUUUGAUGUCAACUUGUAUACAAAAAAUCUUUUUGUUAAAAAAAUAAAAAAUAUUUGCAAUGAU
This is a long non-coding RNA of Pseudoliparis swirei, 1912 nucleotides long. RefSeq lists it as uncharacterized. NCBI's taxonomy places the organism in Eukaryota, Metazoa, Chordata, Actinopteri, Perciformes, Liparidae. The transcript has 2 exons. The record is from RefSeq and is a predicted model, not a curated record.